This is a long non-coding RNA of Tigriopus californicus, 363 nucleotides long. RefSeq lists it as uncharacterized. The record is from RefSeq and is a predicted model, not a curated record. NCBI's taxonomy places the organism in Eukaryota, Metazoa, Arthropoda, Copepoda, Harpacticoida, Harpacticidae. The transcript is spliced from 3 exons.
GGCUCAAAUUCUUAACUAGGAAUGUUAUCAUUUAUACGGCUGAAGGACAACCUCCACAGGUGCUUACCAUGAUCCGGCUCGAAGGACCAUGUAGCGGUUGCCCAGAUUUCCCUUAAACUUUGCUUCCUGCAAUAUGAAAUUCCUAACCAGACCAGAAUCUAGCUACGGAAAUGGAAUACGCACAAGUGGUUCGGCAAGGGUUGUCUCGUCUCUACGACUGAUCACGUUGGUAAUGAUUUUUGGGACUGCAAAGAAAAUAACCAAAUAUUGAAAUGCAUUCACCACAUAACUUCUGUCCAGUGCCAACCAAUGCCAAGUCAGCCUCAAGAUUUCAACGAGCAGUAAAUAACGAAGAAAAAAGUU